Molecule: ribosomal RNA, 494 nt
Filed under: uncultured eukaryote
Lineage: Eukaryota
Description: partial 18S ribosomal RNA
Rfam family: Eukaryotic small subunit ribosomal RNA
Source: RNAcentral
ACAAGUGUAUAUUAAAGUUGUUGCAGUUAAAAAGCUCGUAGUUGGAUAUCUGUCCUAACUGACCUAGCCCUUGCUUUUGCGAGCGUGCUGGUUGUGGUGACCUAUGCUUCGGCGUUGUGUCGCCCGUCAAGUUGGACAUCCUUCAGGAGAACUAUCCUGCCAUUGAUUUGGUUGGGGUAAGGAUCCUGAUCGUUUACUUCGAAAAAAUUAGAGUGUUUAACGCAGGCUUUUGUGUCGCGAAUAUAUUAGCAUGGAAUAAUAAGAUAGGGCUUCGGCAUGUUAGGGGAGUGCCAUUUUCGGUGGUAGGUCUUCGGACUGUGUCGCUGAAUUUGGGUCAACACUUUCCUGCCGUUCUAUUUUGUUGGUUUCUAGAGCUGAAGUAAUGAUUGAUAGGGAUAGUUGGGGGUGCUCGUAUUGCCGGGCCAGAGGUGAAAUUCUCGGAUUCUGGUAAGACGAACUUAUGCGAAAGCAUUCACCAAGGAUGUCUUCUUUAA